CCUACGGGUGGCAGCAGUAGGGAAUAUUGCACAAUGGGGGAAACCCUGAAGCAGCAACGCCGCGUGGAGGAUGAAGGCCUUAGGAUUGUAAAGUACUUUUGGCGGAGAAGACGAUGACGGUAUCUAACGAAUAAGCACCGGCAAACCCCGUGCCAGCAGCCGCGGGAAUACGGGGGGCGAGAGCGUUACUCGGAAUCACUGGGCGUAAGGAGAGCGUAGGCGGGGUAAUAAGUCAGAUGUUAAAUCCUGUAGCUUAACUACAGAACUGCAUUUGAAACUGUUACUCUGGAGUGUGGAAGAGGUAGUUGAAAUUCUUGGUGUAGGGGUAAAAUCCGUAGAG
This 340-nucleotide ribosomal RNA is filed under the name uncultured bacterium. RNAcentral describes it as "partial 16S ribosomal RNA". It matches the Rfam family "Bacterial small subunit ribosomal RNA", at positions 338 to 695 of the family's 1533-position model. The record is from RNAcentral.